UACCAAGGUUAUGAUGGUUAGCUGGUCUGAGAGGAUGAUCAGCCACACUGGAACUGAAACACGGUCCAGACUCCUACGGGAGGCAGCAGUGAGGAAUAUUGCGCAAUGGGGGCAACCCUGACGCGGCAACGCCGCGUGAGUGAGGAAGGUUUUCGGAUUGUAAAGCUCUGUCGAGCGGAAAGAAAUGCACGAUGGCUAAUAUCCAUCAUGCUUGACGGUACCGCUAGAGGAAGCACCGGCUAACUCCGUGCCAGCAGCCGCGGUAAUACGGGGGGUGCAAGCGUUGUUCGGAAUCAUUGGGCGUAAAGAGCGUGUAGGCGGCUGGACAAGUCAGAUGUGAAAUCCCUGGGCUUAACCCAGGAAGUGCAUUUGAAACUGUCUAGCUGGAGUAAGGGAGAGGAAAGUGGAAUUCCUGGUGUAGAGGUGAAAUUCGUAGAUAUCAGGAGGAACACCGGUGGCGAAGGCGACUUUCUGGCCCUAUACUGACGCUGAGACGCGAAAGCGUGGGUAGCAAACAGGAUUAGAUACCCUGGUAGUCCACGCUGUAAACGAUGUUCACUAGGUGUUGGGGGUAUUGACCCUUUCAGUGCCGCAGCUAACGCAUUA
RNAcentral lists this ribosomal RNA (606 nucleotides) under uncultured bacterium. RNAcentral's name for it is "bacterial SSU rRNA". It matches the Rfam family "Bacterial small subunit ribosomal RNA", at positions 266 to 862 of the family's 1533-position model. The record is from RNAcentral.